AAUCAGGUGUCGUAAGACUCAAUAGAAAAGCCGGUAUAAGCCGGCGCGGUCCCGCCGCUGUAAGGACGAGUGAUACUGCAGGAAACGUCACUGUGUAGCCGUAGCUACAUGGGAAGGCGCAGUAGAGCCAUGAAGCCAAGCCAGAAGAACUGCCUGAUUGU
RNAcentral lists this non-coding RNA (161 nucleotides) under Megasphaera hominis. The record is from RNAcentral. Lineage: Bacteria; Bacillati; Bacillota; Negativicutes; Veillonellales; Veillonellaceae.